This 2463-nucleotide long non-coding RNA is filed under the name Heterocephalus glaber (naked mole-rat). Its description in RNAcentral is "lncRNA (ENSHGLG00000047987.1)". The record is from RNAcentral. Lineage: Eukaryota; Metazoa; Chordata; Mammalia; Rodentia; Bathyergidae.
CCUGACUAGUUUCCUUAUAUAAAUAUCUGGGUCCAGGCUUGUGAAGAGCCUCCGGCUUGGCUGCAGCAUUGUUCCCUGUGAACAGACACUUGCAUUCUGGUUAUGGCACCAAGGGGACCCCAAGAGGUCAAAACCCGGUCUCCCAAGCUGGUGCUCUCACAAGAUCCUGAUCCCUUAGACCUCUUAAUAAGACCUCCACCCUAUGUGGAGCCAUCCACCUCCUCUGAUAAAGCCAGCCCCAGAUCUUGAAACCCUUUCUACCCUCCUCUUCCCAAAGAGGAAAAAUCUCCGGAUUCUGUAAUCUCUCCCUCCCACACGCAAACAGGGGCUGCUUAUGGUCCCAGUGAAGCUCCCUCUGAGGGGACUGGUUCAGUUCCUCUUUUGCCUCUUCAGGAAACAGAGCAGGGUCAUUAUGUCUAUAUCCCUUUUUCUACCAGUGACUUAUACAAUUGGAAACAUCAAAAUCCCCCUUUUGCAGAAAAACCCCAGGUUUUGAUCUCCCUCCUAGAAUCUGUUUUUCAUAUCCAUGAUCCUACCUGGGAUGACUGUCAACAACUCCUCCAAGCCCUUUUUACCUCUGAGGAAAGAGAAAGAAUUCAAGGGCAAGCCAUAAAAUCAGUAUUGGGAGGAACAGAAGGGCCCUCUUGAUGAGCAACAAUGAGCCCAUAUCAAGGCGCAACUUCCAUCCACCCAUCCCCGGUGGCAAGCUAAUUCCUCGGGCAGGAGAGAAGCUCUCCAAAACUACCAUCAGCAUCUCCUAGCCAGCUUGAAGGGAGCUGCUCAGAAGCCUACCAAUUUGAGCAAGGUUUGAUUCCAAGACCCUAGAACCACGUUGGAAGGGACCGGUUCCUGUUGUCCUGUCAACUCCCUUGGCAGUGAAGAUAGCUGGACAUUCUGCCUGGAAACAUCGCAACCAUCUGAAGGCAGGACCCCCUGCGGAUGUCACGAAGGACAAAUGGAAGGUUAUCAGCCAACCAGGUGACCGAAAGCUGAGACUGGGGAGGGUUGGAGAUAUUUCUCAUUCAUGAUAAUAUUCUCUGGGACACUGGCGGUACUGCCCCCAAGAAAAUUGGACCACACUGGAAAUGUAUGGUUCAACUGGCAAAAUCACUUAAUCUGUCUGAAUUCUGUCUAAAUAUAGAUGUAAAUUUCCAUUAUGUAUUAGGAAGCUGUCUCAUUCCAGUGUGUACCCCUUUAAGUUUAAUACGGCCCUAUACCCUGUUUAAGGAUAUCCCAGGGAAAAAAAUCUCACUUUAUAAAGAUAGUUACAAUUGGGGCAUUCCUCAUGUCAUAAACCUAAAAAUGCUGACAAAUUAUAUACACCCAGGAUAAUUAUGUCAAAUAAUACCCAACGUGCUAUAUAUGUAAAUUGUACAACCAAGUGUCUGAGAAUAAAACGAUCUGAAGGGAUGCCCUGCCAUAUAAAACAGAAAAUUGUGUAUAACAAUUGCCAUAUCUCCCUGCCGACAGGAUGGUUUUAUACCUGUGAAGGAAUAACUUUCAAUUAUAUUCCAGCCAAUUUAACCAAGACCCAUUGCAGCUUGAGUCGUCUAGCUGUAGUUUUACCAGAUAAAACUGAUUUGAUUAUGCCAAAUAGAACUAAAUGCUGGUCGCCUUAUACUGCGCCAGGAUGUGAUGAUGAUGUAAGUCUUUUGACAGAUGCUAAAGUGAUAUCUAUGAUAGCAUCUUUUGUUGCUCUGCCUUCCAUAGGAGUCCAUGCUGAAAAGGUGGUAUGAAAAUUAGCUUGCAAGGUGGUCAAAGGGUUAAAUGCUACCUCAUCAGCCUUGGCAUUAAUUAACCAGGAGUUACAAGAACAGAGACAAGCAAUCUUAGAUAAUAGAGCAGCUAUAGACUAUUUGUUGCUCUUUCAUCAUCAAGGUUGUGAAAGAAUAAAAAAUAUGUGUUGUUUCAAUCUGACUGACAAUAGUCCAGGAAUUAGAGAAAAGAUAAAACAGUUGGAAGACUUGGCUAAAAGGGUACAUGACGAAAAAGUAGGAUGGGACUUGUUCCAGUGGCUAACUAAAUGGUUGCCCAACCUACAAUGGUUAAAGCAACUUUUUCUCGUAGUUAUAGUUGUGUGCAUAUGCUUAAUAUUGUCGUGCUGCUGUAUACAAUGGAUGCCCACAUUUAUACAUAAGAUUACUUAAGUUGUAAAAUCAGUGGGGAAUGUGGGACCGCAUAACUCUGUAAUCAUAAAGGCUCCCCCAGCCCCAACAUAGUGAUUGAUUGUGAGUGAAUGGUUAAAAUGUGCUUGUUAGUUCUGGGACACUAGAUAAAAUCUGUAACAAACAUAGAGUUCCUAAGUGAAUUAUCCAACUCCUUGUUUGUCCGAAACCGAUGUUCUGACACAGCUAUCUAUAAGACAAUCUGCAAACAUCUUUUGACCAUCAACGUUUUUUCUCUUGCUAAUUUCCCCUGCAACCCCCUAUAAAAACAGCCUCAGGCUCUGAGCCAGUUGCCUCU